RNAcentral lists this ribosomal RNA (497 nucleotides) under uncultured bacterium. Its description in RNAcentral is "partial 16S ribosomal RNA". It matches the Rfam family "Bacterial small subunit ribosomal RNA", at positions 28 to 523 of the family's 1533-position model. The record is from RNAcentral.
GAUGAACGCUGGCGGCGUGCUUAACACAUGCAAGUCGAACGAAGCACUUUUACCGGUUUCUUCGGAAUGAAGUUUUAGUGACUGAGUGGCGGACGGGUGUGUAACGCGUGGGUAACCUGCCUCACACAGGGGGAGAACCGUUGGAAACGGCUGCUAAUACCGCAUAAGCGCACAGUACUGCAUGGUACGGUGUGAAAAACUCCGGUGGUGUGAGAUGGACCCGCGUCUGAUUAGCUAGUUGGCAGGGCAACGGCCUACCAAGGCGACGAUCAGUAGCCGACCUGAGAGGGUGACCGGCCACAUUGGGACUGAGACACGGCCCAAACUCCUACGGGAGGCAGCAGUGGGGAAUAUUGCACAAUGGGGGAAACCCUGAUGCAGCGACGCCGCGUGAGCGAAGAAGUAUUUCGGUAUGUAAAGCUCUAUCAGCAGGGAAGAAGAAAUGACGGUACCUGACUAAGAAGCACCGGCUAAAUACGUGCCAGCAGCCGCGGUAA